RNAcentral lists this ribosomal RNA (499 nucleotides) under uncultured bacterium. Its description in RNAcentral is "bacterial SSU rRNA". It matches the Rfam family "Bacterial small subunit ribosomal RNA", at positions 29 to 506 of the family's 1533-position model. The record is from RNAcentral.
AGCGAACGUUAGCGGCAGGCUUAACACAUGCAAGUCGAGCGAGAAAGAGGGGCAACCCUUGAGUAAAGCGGCGGACGGGUGCGUAACACGUGGAUAAUCUGCCUUCUGGCGGGGAAUAACAGUCCGAAAGGAUUGCUAAUGCCGCAUGUGUCUGUGAGGUUUCCGGAUUUCACAGAGAAAGAGGGCGCCCGCAAGGGGCUCUCACCAGAAGAUGAGUCCGCGUCCCAUCAGCUAGUUGGCGGGGUAAUGGCCCACCAAGGCAGAGACGGGUAGCUGGUCUGAGAGGAUGACCAGCCACACUGGGACUGAGACACGGCCCAGACUCCUACGGGAGGCAGCAGUGGGGAAUAUUGGGCAAUGGGCGCAAGCCUGACCCAGCCAUGCCGCGUGAGUGAUGAAGGUCUUCGGAUCGUAAAGCUCUGUGGGAAGGGGCGAAAAACCGGUGGUUAAUACCCGCCGGCUUGACGGUACCUUCUUAGCAAGCACCGGCUAACUCCGU